Molecule: ribosomal RNA, 253 nt
Filed under: uncultured bacterium
Lineage: Bacteria
Description: partial 16S ribosomal RNA
Rfam family: Bacterial small subunit ribosomal RNA
Source: RNAcentral
UACGUAGGUGGCAAGCGUUGUCCGGAUUUACUGGGCGUAAAGAGCGCGCAGGCGGUCGUGCAAGUCGCGUGUGAAAGCCCCCGGCUCAACUGGGGAGGGUCACGCGAUACUGCUCGACUUGAAGGCAGGAGAGGGAAGUGGAAUUCCCGGUGUAGUGGUGAAAUGCGUAGAUAUCUGGAGGAACACCGGUGGCGAAGGCGGCAUCCUGGACCGGUAUUGACGCUGAGGCGCGAAAGCUAGGGGAGCAAACGGG